GAUGAAGAACGUAGCGAAAUGCGAUAAGUAAUGUGAAUUGCAGAAUUCCGUGAAUCAUCGAAUCUUUGAACGCACAUUGCGCCCCCUGGCAUUCCGGGGGGCAUGCCUGUCCGAGCGUCAUUUCUGCCCUCAAGCACGGCUUGUGUGUUGGGUGUGGUCCCCCCGGGGACCUGCCCGAAAGGCAGCGGCGACGUCCGUCUGGUCCUCGAGCGUAUGGGGCUCUGUCACUCGCUCGGGAAGGACCUGCGGGGGUUGGUCACCACCAUGUUUUACCACGGUUGACCUCGGAUCAGGUAGGAGUUACCCGCUGAACUUAAGCAUAUCAAAAGCGGAGGA
RNAcentral lists this unclassified non-coding RNA (336 nucleotides) under soil metagenome. Its description in RNAcentral is "partial contains 5.8S ribosomal RNA, internal transcribed spacer 2, and large subunit ribosomal RNA". The stretch from base 1 to 120 matches the Rfam family "5.8S ribosomal RNA", at positions 35 to 154 of the family's 154-position model. The record is from RNAcentral.